GGGUUCUGCUUGACUCUGCAUUCUCCUACUUCCCUGCCUGCUUACUCUCUGCCAUCAUAGUUUUUUGCUUCAACCUUCAAAUGUAGCCAUUCUUUUUCUAAAGGGGUACUUAUUCUCUUUCUUAGUUAAAAUUAUUAAUUUUAUGCACUUACUGUUCUAGCUCCAAUUUUGCAUUUCCAGUUCCCUGCUGGGAAUAAAUUAAAUUGGCAGAAGCUCAGCCUAAGUGCUUGCAACAGAAUUUGUCCCAUAUCCAUACAACUUGCUCCUCCACAACAAAUGGGAGAAUCAUCCUCUUACCUCCAGGCUGUGAUGGAGGAGAAGCUAUCCCUCAGCACAGGAUUUUGGUAGAAUAAGAAUAAAAAUGACAAGUCCCUUCCUGAAAAGCUCUUCAUUGUCUCUUGAAAAUGGUCUGUGAAAGUGCCAAAUCACCAGCUCUCCAGAUGUGGCUGAAUAUCAAGGUGAAUUUAAUUUAGACUUAGCUUGGGAUCCCCGUCAUAACAAAUCAGAUAAAGUGCAUGCGCAUGCAUGUGCACACACACACUCAGACAUGUAAAACCCAUCCUAGACAGUUCAAACAAGGUUUGAGUACCACUUUCCACAUAUUAGGAUUACAAGGUGCCAAGAACAUAGAGUUCCUAAUCUUGAGGAGCCUGC
This 654-nucleotide non-coding RNA is filed under the name Pongo abelii (Sumatran orangutan). Lineage: Eukaryota; Metazoa; Chordata; Mammalia; Primates; Hominidae. The record is from RNAcentral.